CAACAGGGAUUGCCCUAGUAACGGCGAGUGAAGCGGCAACAGCUCAAAUUUGAAAUCUGGCCUCGGCCCGAGUUGUAAUUUGCAGAGGAUGCUUUUGGUGCGGUGCCUUCCGAGUUCCCUGGAACGGGACGCCACAGAGGGUGAGAGCCCCGUAUGGUCGGACACCAAUCCUGUGUAAAGCUCCUUCGACGAGUCGAGUAGUUUGGGAAUGCUGCUCUAAAUGGGAGGUAAAUCUCUUCUAAAGCUAAAUACCGGCCAGAGACCGAUAGCGCACAAGUAGAGUGAUCGAAAGAUGAAAAGCACCUUGAAAAGGGGGUUAAACAGUACGUGAAAUUGUUGAAAGGGAAGCACUUGUGACCAGACUUGGGCCGGGCGGCUCAUCAGGGGUUCUCCCCUGUGCAUUCCGCCCGGUACAGGCCAGCAUCGGUUCUUACCGGGGGAUAAGAACGGCAGGAACGUGGCUCCCUCUCGGGGGAGUGUUAUAGCCUGCCGUACGAUACCCUGGCGGGGACCGAGGUUCGCGCUUCCGCAAGGAUGCUGGCGUAAUGGUUACUAGUGACCCGUCUUGAAACACGGACCAAGGAGUCGUCCAUUAGAGCGAGCGUUUGGGUGUAAAACCCGCACGCGUAAUGAAAGUGAAAUUAGGUGAGAGCUUCGGCGCAUCAUCGACCGAUCCUGAUGUUCUCGGAUGGAUUUGAGUAAGAGUUUUAACGGACGGACCCGAAAGACAGUGAACUAUGCUUGUAUAGGGUGAAGCCAGAGGAAACUCUGGUGGAGGCUCGCAGCGGUUCUGACGUGCAAAUCGAUCGUCAAAUAUGAGCAUGGGGGCGAAAGACUAAUCG
This 842-nucleotide ribosomal RNA is filed under the name Tubakia melnikiana. RNAcentral's name for it is "eukaryotic LSU rRNA". It matches the Rfam family "Eukaryotic large subunit ribosomal RNA", at positions 66 to 937 of the family's 3401-position model. The record is from RNAcentral. Lineage: Eukaryota; Fungi; Ascomycota; Sordariomycetes; Diaporthales; Tubakiaceae.